Molecule: ribosomal RNA, 514 nt
Filed under: uncultured bacterium
Lineage: Bacteria
Description: partial 16S ribosomal RNA
Rfam family: Bacterial small subunit ribosomal RNA
Source: RNAcentral
GACGAACGCUGGCGGCGUGGCUAACACAUGCAAGUCGAACGGGGAGUUACUUGUAACUCCUAGUGGCGAACGGGUGAGUAACGCGUAGACAACCUGCCUCUAAAUUGGGGACAACACCGCGAAAGUGGUGCUAAUACCGAAUGUGGUAACUUGAUCGCAUGAUCGAGUUAAGAAAGAUGGCCUCUAUUUAUAAGCUAUCGAUUAGAGAUGGGACUGAGUCUGAUGAGCUAGUUGUUGAGGUAAUGGCUCACCAAGGCGACGAUCAGUAGCCGGUCUGAGAGGAUGAACGGCGACACUGGGACUGAGACACGGCCCAGACUCCUACGGGAGGCAGCAGUGGGGAAUCUUCCGCAAUGGACGAAAGUCUGACGGAGCAACGCCGCGUGAGUGAAGAAGGUCUUCGGAUAGUAAAGCUCUGUCGUUUGGGACGAACGUGCUUUGUGUGAAUAAUGCAGAGUAAUGACGGUACCAAAGGAGGAAGCCACGGCUAACUACGUGCCAGCCGCCGCAGUAA